RNAcentral lists this ribosomal RNA (963 nucleotides) under Mogibacterium diversum. Its description in RNAcentral is "bacterial SSU rRNA". It matches the Rfam family "Bacterial small subunit ribosomal RNA", at positions 28 to 991 of the family's 1533-position model. The record is from RNAcentral. Lineage: Bacteria; Bacillati; Bacillota; Clostridia; Peptostreptococcales; Anaerovoracaceae.
GAUGAACGCUGGCGGCGUGCCUAAUACAUGCAAGUCGAGCGAGAUGUUAGCGCAUGAACCUUCGGGGGAUUAUGCUAACGGACAGCGGCGGACGGGUGAGUAACGCGUAGGCAACCUGCCCCUGACAGAGGGAUAGCCAUUGGAAACGAUGAUUAAAACCUCAUGACACCGUAGAAGCACAUGCUUCAUCGGUCAAAGAUUUAUCGGUCAGGGAUGGGCCUGCGUCUGAUUAACUAGUUGGUGAGGUAACGGCUCACCAAGGUGACGAUCAGUAGCCGACCUGAGAGGGUGAUCGGCCACAUUGGAACUGAGACACGGUCCAAACUUCUACGGAAGGCAGCAGUAGGGAAUCUUGCACAAUGGGCGAAAGCCUGAUGCAGCAACGCCGCGUGAAGGAUGAAGGCCUUCGGGUUGUAAACUUCUGUUCUAAGGGAAGAAACAAAUGACGGUACCUUAGGAGCAAGCCCCGGCUAACUACGUGCCAGCAGCCGCGGUAAUACGUAGGGGGCAAGCGUUAUCCGGAAUUAUUGGGCGUAAAGAGUGCGUAGGUGGUUACCUAAGCGCAAGGUUUAAUUUAGAGGCUCAACCUCUACUUGCCUUGCGAACUGGGCUACUUGAGUGCAGGAGGGGAAAGCGGAAUUCCUAGUGUAGCGGUGAAAUGCGUAGAUAUUAGGAGGAACACCAGCGGCGAAGGCGGCUUUCUGGACUGUAACUGACACUGAGGCACGAAAGCGUGGGUAGCAAACAGGAUUAGAUACCCUGGUAGUCCACGCCGUAAACGAUGAGCACUAGGUGUUGGGCCCGUUAGGGCUCAGUGCCGCAGUUAACGCAAUAAGUGCUCCGCCUGGGGAGUACGCUCGCAAGAGUAAAACUCAAAGGAAUUGACGGGGACCCGCACAAGCAGCGGAGCAUGUGGUUUAAUUCGAAGCAACGCGAAGAACCUUACCAGGGCUUGACAUCCUG